UAAGUAAGUGGUGGAAAUUAAACCAAAUGGGAUUCCUUUAGUAAUUGCGAAUGAACAAGGAUAUGCUUAGCUUGAUAAUUGGGGCUUCUGGCUUUGAAUUGUGUUUUUGAAAUGUAUUACCAACAGAGGUGCAGGUGUUAGCAUAUUGGAAGAAAGCGUCAAUGAGGGUGAGAAUCCUUUUUGUCAUGUGCAGUCCUCUGUGCACGGUGUAUGUUUGCUGAGUCACACUCCUUGGCAUUGGAAUGCAAAGUGGGUGGUAAGUUUCAUGUAAAGGUAAAUAUAUGAUUGAGACUGAUAGUGCACAAGUACCAUGAGGGAAAUAUGAAAAGGACUUUGAAAAGAGAAUUAAAUGAGUUUGUAUUUGCUGAACAGAAAGUAAACAGAUUUGAUUUUGCUGGGUGAGAUUGUGGUGCUUGCUUGACACUUAUGUGGUUGUAAGUACAAUGAUUCUUACUUUGUGUGCCAGUUUUUUGCACAUUUGAACAUUCUUGCGUAUGAAUGGUAAUAUUCCUGUGGGGGUUGGAUUGCAUACGUAUGUAAGCAUUUGUGUUCUGAACUAUGUGUUUGGUGACUUUGUUUGUACGCUAUGUGUACAGAAGGUGUUUCUUCCUGGGUCAACAAGCCUUAACAC
Molecule: ribosomal RNA, 631 nt
Filed under: Alexandrium tropicale
Lineage: Eukaryota; Dinophyceae; Gonyaulacales; Pyrocystaceae
Description: LSU rRNA
Rfam family: Eukaryotic large subunit ribosomal RNA
Source: RNAcentral